Molecule: long non-coding RNA, 970 nt
Filed under: Scleropages formosus (Asian bonytongue)
Lineage: Eukaryota; Metazoa; Chordata; Actinopteri; Osteoglossiformes; Osteoglossidae
Description: lncRNA (ENSSFOG00015026609.1)
Source: RNAcentral
CCUCGGUUCUGCGGCAAGGCCACGCUCUGCAAACAGGGAGUUUCUGAGAGGGAAGCUGGUUUUUGGUGCCAUAAAUGGCACUUUUCGGUCACUGCCUUUCCAACCCGCACCCUGCGCCCGCUUGCCGGGGGCGACGCAUAUCGGCCUUUUUAUUCUCUGCAACUCGAACCCCUUUGCUGUUUCACGACUGAAUGCUCUCUGUGUGUGUGUGUGUGUGUGUGUUCAUGUGCUCACGUGCUCACGGCACUGGCCAUCUCCUCUUUUUCUCUCCCUAUCAGACUCCCAUCCGCAGCCAAGGGGCCCCUCCUCAGACGAUACCCUCAGCUCCUGUGAAACGCCUUUUACUCCGUGGGAAAACAAACGUUUUCAUGUUCAUAGGUGAGAUGAAAGCUAAACCUGCAUGCCUUUGCUGCAGGACAUGGUUACCGUGCAAUGUCUCUGCAACCCUGCGUCUCACAUACAGCCUGUCUGCGGACUUGAACCUGCAACAGUUCACGUCCUUGACCAUUACACUAGUUGUUUCUUCUAACUGAAGUAAAUGACUGUAUCUUUCAACAUUUUAUUCCUUAUUUUACCCAAAAAAAAUUAAAAUACAACCGUCGAAGGUGGCCUGUCCUUUACAGGUGUACCCCUAUGUAGGACGUUCAGUGACACAGCACCACACAUCCAUGUCCCAUCUAUGUUUCACAACUGCGGAAGCCCGAAGAGCGCAAGUUCAUAACAAAGAAGGAUUUAUGCCCCGAGUCACGAUGCAGUCGGGGAUCCAGCCGACAUACUCAAACGCCGAUGCGUGUUGGCUCAGCGGGGCAACCAAGAGAAUAGCCGGGGACAGGCGAGGAUCGAUCGAUCAUUGUACGUUGAUCCGAGGAGUAGACGAGAGCCAGAGUUGAGGUCACGGAGUCGAGAGCUGAAGAACUGGGAAAACCAAAACCAAGGGAGCGCAGGAUGGGGAAGGAGAGGGGAACAAUAC